Molecule: ribosomal RNA, 482 nt
Filed under: Enterobacter hormaechei
Lineage: Bacteria; Pseudomonadati; Pseudomonadota; Gammaproteobacteria; Enterobacterales; Enterobacteriaceae
Description: bacterial SSU rRNA
Rfam family: Bacterial small subunit ribosomal RNA
Source: RNAcentral
AUUGAACGCUGGCGGCAGGCCUAACACAUGCAAGUCGAACGGUAACAGGAAGCAGCUUGCUGCUUUGCUGACGAGUGGCGGACGGGUGAGUAAUGUCUGGGAAACUGCCUGAUGGAGGGGGAUAACUACUGGAAACGGUAGCUAAUACCGCAUAACGUCGCAAGACCAAAGAGGGGGACCUUCGGGCCUCUUGCCAUCGGAUGUGCCCAGAUGGGAUUAGCUAGUAGGUGGGGUAACGGCUCACCUAGGCGACGAUCCCUAGCUGGUCUGAGAGGAUGACCAGCCACACUGGAACUGAGACACGGUCCAGACUCCUACGGGAGGCAGCAGUGGGGAAUAUUGCACAAUGGGCGCAAGCCUGAUGCAGCCAUGCCGCGUGUAUGAAGAAGGCCUUUCGGGUUGUAAAGUACUUUCAGCGGGGAGGAAGGCGAUAAGGUUAAUAACCUUGUCGAUUGACGUUACCCGCAGAAGAAGCACCGCUA